RNAcentral lists this ribosomal RNA (506 nucleotides) under uncultured bacterium. RNAcentral's name for it is "partial 16S ribosomal RNA". It matches the Rfam family "Bacterial small subunit ribosomal RNA", at positions 29 to 523 of the family's 1533-position model. The record is from RNAcentral.
AGUGAACGCUGGCGGUAGGCCUAACACAUGCAAGUCGAACGGCAGCACAGGAGAGCUUGCUCUCUGGGUGGCGAGUGGCGGACGGGUGAGGAAUACAUCGGAAUCUACUCUGUCGUGGGGGAUAACGUAGGGAAACUUAGGCUAAUACCGUUUACGACCUACGGGUGAAAGCAGGGGAUCUUCGGACCUUGCGCGAUUGAAUGAGACGAGGUCGGAUUAGCUAGUGGGCGGGGUAAAGGCCCACCAAGGCGACGAUCCGUAGCUGGUCUGAGAGGAUGAUCAGCCACACUGGAACUGAGACACGGUCCAGACUCCUACGGGAGGCAGCAGUGGGGAAUAUUGGACAAUGGGCGCAAGCCUGAUCCAGCCAUACCGCGUGGGUGAAGAAGGCCUUCGGGUUGUAAAGCCCUUUUGUUGGGAAAGAAAUCCAGCUGGCUAAUACCCGGUUGGGAUGACGGUACCCAAAGAAUAAGCACCGGCUAACUUCGUGCCAGCCGCCGCCGUAA